This 462-nucleotide ribosomal RNA is filed under the name uncultured bacterium. RNAcentral describes it as "partial 16S ribosomal RNA". It matches the Rfam family "Bacterial small subunit ribosomal RNA", at positions 28 to 507 of the family's 1533-position model. The record is from RNAcentral.
GAUGAACGCUGACAGAAUGCUUAACACAUGCAAGUCUUUGGCGAAGCUGUGCUUGCUCUGCCUAGCCAAGGCGGACGGGUGAGGAACGUGUAAGGAACUUGCCCUGCAGUCAGGGAUAACAGACGGAAACGACUGAUAAGACCUGGCAAAGUCAGGAGGACUCAUGUCAAGCCUGAUGAAAAGAGAUGCUGCAGGAUGGCCUUGCGUUCUAUUAGCGUGGUGUUGGGGUAACGGCCCACCAAGGGAAUGAUAGGGAGCCGGUCUGAGAGGGUGGACGGCCACAAGGGGACGGAGAUACGGGCAUUACUCCUUCGGGAGGCAGCAGAGGGGAAUAUUGGACAAUGGGGGCAACUCUGAUACAGCAAUUCUGUGUGAACGAUGAAGGUUUUAGGAUUGUAAAGUGCUUUCAGCAGGGAAGAAAAAAUGACGGUACCUGCAGAAGAAGCGACGGCUAAAUACGUG